UAGGGAAUAUUAGUAAUGGGCGCAAGCCUGAACUAGCAACGCCGCGUGUGCGAAGAAGGCCUUCGGGUUGUAAAGCACUUUUUGAGAGGAUGAGGAAGGACGGUACUCUCAGAAUAAGUCUCGGCUAACUACGUGCCAGCAGCCGCGGUAACACGUAGGAGGCAAACGUUAUCCGGAUUUACUGGGCGUAAAGCGCGUGUAGGUGGUUUGGUAAGUAGGGCGUGAAAGCUCCUGGCUCAACUGGGAGAGGCCGUUCUAAACUGCCGAACUAGAGGAUGGUAGAGGGAGGUGGAAUUCCGGGUGUAGCGGUGGAAUGCGCAGAUAUCCGGAGGAACACCAGUGGCGAAAGCGGCCUCCUGGACCAUUCCUGACACUCAGACGCGAAAGCUAGGGUAGCGAACGG
This 403-nucleotide ribosomal RNA is filed under the name uncultured bacterium. RNAcentral's name for it is "bacterial SSU rRNA". It matches the Rfam family "Bacterial small subunit ribosomal RNA", at positions 355 to 775 of the family's 1533-position model. The record is from RNAcentral.